Papaver somniferum (opium poppy) is the source of this 789-nucleotide long non-coding RNA. RefSeq lists it as uncharacterized. Lineage: Eukaryota; Viridiplantae; Streptophyta; Magnoliopsida; Ranunculales; Papaveraceae. The record is from RefSeq and is a predicted model, not a curated record. The transcript has 3 exons.
UAAAUCCAUGGUUGUGAUUUGCUUUCAAAACUCUCUAAGUUUCUGUCACUGCAUCUUCUCUUAAUUGUCCUCCAUUAAUUAUGACCUAAUUUCAGGAUUUAAAGGAAAAAAAAAGACACUGGAACCUUUCACUUCUUCUCGCAGGCUUCCCAAUUCCAAUUUUUAUCUCGAUUUCAUUAGAGGUUAGAUUGCUCAGAGAAAUACUUACAAUUACUACAUCGAGAGACUUUCUCCCAGACCGGAACUUUUGUGCCAAAAGCAACCCAAAACAUUGAGAUGCUGAGAUGGAGAUAAUCGAAAGAUACAAGAGACUUUCUCCCAGAACGGAACUUUUGUGCAGAAAGCAACCCAAGACAUUGAGACGCUGAGAUGGAAAGUAACCUGAAGAACUUUCCUUGGAAGAGGGGUCGAAUAUGAAGCAUUAUGAGGUUGGUGGUGUAAGAGUUAAAGAACUUAAAGUAUUAAGAAAAGUGUUUUGACUAUAUUUCUACAAGCUAAAAGUUAUCACAGCAGGAAGUUUGAACCUACUCGAACUUUAUGGAGUCGAAGAACAACUACAAUGUCAUGUUCGUGAAACAUGUUAAGAAUUUAUGCUUGAACUUUCCUAUUUGCUGUCGUUUUUCUUUUAUAUUGCUUUUUACUAGAUAUGUUGUCAUUUUAAAUUAAAAGAGCAUGCUCAGUAUUUAACGUUGGAACCUGUACCAUCCAAUAGCUGACUCUUUUAAAAAGUUACUUAUUUAUCUAAACAAAUAUGAGUCCGCUGGUUCACGUCGGUCAGCCAGGUAACUG